GAUGAACGCUGGCGGCGUGCCUAACACAUGCAAGUCGAACGGAAAGGCCCUGUUCUUGUGGGGCGCUCGAGUGGCGAACGGGGGAGUAACACGCGAGUAACCUGCCCCUGACUUUGGGAUAACUUCAGGAAACUGGGGCUAUUACCGGAUAGGAGCUCCUGCUGCACGGUGGGGGUUGGAAAGUUUCGGCGGUUGGGGCUGGACUCGCGGCUUAUCGGCUUGUUGGUGGGGUAGUGGCUUACCAAGGCUUUGACGGGUAGCCGGCCUGGGAGGGUGACCGGCCACAUUGGGACUGGGAUACGGCCCAGACGCCAACGGGGGGCAGCAGUGGGGAAUAUUGCAGAAUGGGCGGAAGCCUGAUGCAGCAACGCCGCGUGCGGGAUGACGGCCUUCGGGUUGUAAACCGCUGUCGCAUGUGACGUGGAGUGAGUGACGGUAAUGGGUAAAGAAGCACCGGCUAACUACGUG
RNAcentral lists this ribosomal RNA (468 nucleotides) under uncultured bacterium. Its description in RNAcentral is "partial 16S ribosomal RNA". It matches the Rfam family "Bacterial small subunit ribosomal RNA", at positions 28 to 507 of the family's 1533-position model. The record is from RNAcentral.